GUGUGUUAGUGGAAGCGUCUGGAAAGGCGCGCGAUACAGGGUGACAGCCCCGUACACAAAAAUGCACAUGCUGUGAGCUCGAUGAGUAGGGCGGGACACGUGGUAUCCUGUCUGAAUAUGGGGGGACCAUCCUCCAAGGCUAAAUACUCCUGACUGACCGAUAGUGAACCAGUACCGUGAGGGAAAGGCGAAAAGAACCCCGGCGAGGGGAGUGAAAAAGAACCUGAAACCGUGUACGUACAAGCAGUGGGAGCACGCUUAGGCGUGUGACUGCGUACCUUUUGUAUAAUGGGUCAGCGACUUAUAUUCUGUAGCAAGGUUAACCGAAUAGGGGAGCCGAAGGGAAACCGAGUCUUAACUGGGCGUUAAGUUGCAGGGUAUAGACCCGAAACCCGGUGAUCUAGCCAUGGGCAGGUUGAAGGUUGGGUAACACUAACUGGAGGACCGAACCGACUAAUGUUGAAAAAUUAGCGGAUGACUUGUGGCUGGGGGUGAAAGGCCAAUCAAACCGGGAGAUAGCUGGUUCUCCCCGAAAGCUAUUUAGGUAGCGCCUCGUGAAUUCAUCUCCGGGGGUAGAGCACUGUUUCGGCAAGGGGGUCAUCCCGACUUACCAACCCGAUGCAAACUACGAAUACCGGAGAAUGUUAUCACGGGAGACACACGGCGGGUGCUAACGUCCGUCGUGAAGAGGGAAACAACCCAGACCGCCAGCUAAGGUCCCAAAGUCAUGGUUAAGUGGGAAACGAUGUGGGAAGGCCCAGACAGCCAGGAUGUUGGCUUAGAAGCAGCCAUCAUUUAAAGAAAGCGUAAUAGCUCACUGGUCGAGUCGGCCUGCGCGGAAGAUGUAACGGGGCUAAACCAUGCACCGAAGCUGCGGCAGCGACGCUUAUGCGUUGUUGGGUAGGGGAGCGUUCUGUAAGCCUGCGAAGGUGUGCUGUGAGGCAUGCUGGAGGUAUCAGAAGUGCGAAUGCUGACAUAAGUAACGAUAAAGCGGGUGAAAAGCCCGCUCGCCGGAAGACCAAGGGUUCCUGUCCAACGUUAAUCGGGGCAGGGUGAGUCGACCCCUAAGGCGAGGCCGAAAGGCGUAGUCGAUGGGAAACAGGUUAAUAUUCCUGUACUUGGUGUUACUGCGAAGGGGGGACGGAGAAGGCUAUGUUGGCCGGGCGACGGUUGUCCCGGUUUAAGCGUGUAGGCUGGUUUUCCAGGCAAAUCCGGAAAAUCAAGGCUGAGGCGUGAUGACGAGGCACUACGGUGCUGAAGCAACAAAUGCCCUGCUUCCAGGAAAAGCCUCUAAGCAUCAGGUAACAUCAAAUCGUACCCCAAACCGACACAGGUGGUCAGGUAGAGAAUACCAAGGCGCUUGAGAGAACUCGGGUGAAGGAACUAGGCAAAAUGGUGCCGUAACUUCGGGAGAAGGCACGCUGAUAUGUAGGUGAAGUCCCUCGCGGAUGGAGCUGAAAUCAGUCGAAGAUACCAGCUGGCUGCAACUGUUUAUUAAAAACACAGCACUGUGCAAACACGAAAGUGGACGUAUACGGUGUGACGCCUGCCCGGUGCCGGAAGGUUAAUUGAUGGGGUCAGCGCAAGCGAAGCUCUUGAUCGAAGCCCCGGUAAACGGCGGCCGUAACUAUAACGGUCCUAAGGUAGCGAAAUUCCUUGUCGGGUAAGUUCCGACCUGCACGAAUGGCGUAAUGAUGGCCAGGCUGUCUCCACCCGAGACUCAGUGAAAUUGAACUCGCUGUGAAGAUGCAGUGUACCCGCGGCAAGACGGAAAGACCCCGUGAACCUUUACUAUAGCUUGACACUGAACAUUGAGCCUUGAUGUGUAGGAUAGGUGGGAGGCUUUGAAGUGUGGACGCCAGUCUGCAUGGAGCCGACCUUGAAAUACCACCCUUUAAUGUUUGAUGUUCUAACGUUGACCCGUGAUCCGGGUUGCGGACAGUGUCUGGUGGGUAGUUUGACUGGGGCGGUCUCCUCCUAAAGAGUAACGGAGGAGCACGAAGGUUGGCUAAUCCUGGUCGGACAUCAGGAGGUUAGUGCAAUGGCAUAAGCCAGCUUGACUGCGAGCGUGACGGCGCGAGCAGGUGCGAAAGCAGGUCAUAGUGAUCCGGUGGUUCUGAAUGGAAGGGCCAUCGCUCAACGGAUAAAAGGUACUCCGGGGAUAACAGGCUGAUACCGCCCAAGAGUUCAUAUCGACGGCGGUGUUUGGCACCUCGAUGUCGGCUCAUCACAUCCUGGGGCUGAAGUAGGUCCCAAGGGUAUGGCUGUUCGCCAUUUAAAGUGGUACGCGAGCUGGGUUUAGAACGUCGUGAGACAGUUCGGUCCCUAUCUGCCGUGGGCGCUGGAGAACUGAGGGGGGCUGCUCCUAGUACGAGAGGACCGGAGUGGACGCAUCACUGGUGUUCGGGUUGUCAUGCCAAUGGCACUGCCCGGUAGCUAAAUGCGGAAGAGAUAAGUGCUGAAAGCAUCUAAGCACGAAACUUGCCCCGAGAUGAGUUCUCCCUGACUCCUUGAGAGUCCUGAAGGAACGUUGAAGACGACGACGUUGAUAGGCCGGGUGUGUAAGCGCAGCGAUGCGUUGAGCUAACCGGUACUAAUGAACCGUGAGGCUUAACC
RNAcentral lists this ribosomal RNA (2616 nucleotides) under Escherichia coli. Its description in RNAcentral is "bacterial LSU rRNA". It matches the Rfam family "Bacterial large subunit ribosomal RNA", at positions 324 to 2925 of the family's 2925-position model. The record is from RNAcentral. Lineage: Bacteria; Pseudomonadati; Pseudomonadota; Gammaproteobacteria; Enterobacterales; Enterobacteriaceae.